AAAGGAACAGGUAAAGGAUGAAUCAGUAUGUAAGGAGGAGCCCCCGGGCUCCGACACAGGACCCUGUAGCCCCGGGCUAUACUCCGCACAGGCAGAGCUUGCGCCCGAGCUGUAUAUAGAGACCCAGCAUAGAGUUGCAAACCAAACAGGAUUCACCAAAAGAGAUCCACUGCAGAAGUGCGAAGUUCAACACAAGUCCAUCUCUGACCAGAACCAAUCACCAGAGAGUCAGGCACAGAACGCUGCUGAUCAACGAAUGGCUGUAGCGGGCACUCCGCAAGACAUCGACGAAGUCUUCGAAUGCGAGACAUGUGGCAAAACAUUCAAUCAAAUAUUCUACUUUACCUCACAUAUGCAACUACACGAGUACAACUUGAAAAUCGUUGAAACAGAAACGAAAACAUACUCCUGCGAAACGUGCGGAAAACAAUUUACGACUAAUAAGCUUUUAUUCGAGCACGAGUUGACACACGUACCCCUUGAGUACCCUUGCGAAAUUUGCGAUAAAACGUUUAGUUUUAUGUAUCAACUGACGAAUCAUACAAGAGUUCACAUGGGUGAGAAACCAUACAAGUGCACUAUGUGCUCAAAACAAUUCGCGUUGCGUGGCGCUUUUGCUAAACACGAACGAAGGCACACUG
Molecule: long non-coding RNA, 641 nt
Organism: Cydia splendana
Lineage: Eukaryota; Metazoa; Arthropoda; Insecta; Lepidoptera; Tortricidae
Exons: 2
Source: RefSeq, a predicted model, not a curated record